GGUGGCUCCUUGGUUUGUAGUAUUAGGUUGGUGCAAAAGUAAUUGCAGUUUUUGCCACUGAAAGUAAUAGCAUCACUUCAACCUCUGCCUCUGUUUUCAUAGGGUCUUCCUCCGGGUGGCUCUGUGUGUCCCU
Molecule: microRNA precursor, 133 nt
Filed under: Chlorocebus sabaeus (green monkey)
Lineage: Eukaryota; Metazoa; Chordata; Mammalia; Primates; Cercopithecidae
Description: miRNA (ENSCSAG00000024744.1)
Source: RNAcentral